CCUACGGGAGGCAGCAGUGAGGAAUAUUGGUCAAUGGGCUCACGCCUGAACCAGCCAAGUCGCGUGAGGGAAGACUGCCCUACGGGUUGUAAACCUCUUUUGUCAGGGAGCAACGCGGGUCACAUGUAGCGCCACUGAGAGUACCUGGAGAAAAAGCAUCGGCUAACUCCGUGCCAGCAGCCGCGGUAAUACGGAGGAUGCGAGCGUUAUCCGGAUUUAUUGGGUUUAAAGGGUGCGUAGGCGGAAUGUUAAGUCAGCGGUAAAAUGGAGGGGCUCAACCCCGUUCCGCCGUUGAAACUGGCGUUCUUGAGUGGACGAGAAGUAUGCGGAAUGCGUGGUGUAGCGGUGAAAUGCAUAGAUAGCACGCAGAACUCCGAUUGCGAAGGCAGCAUGCCGGCUCCCGACUGACGCUGAAGCACGAAAGCGUGGGGAUCGAACAGGAUUAGAUACCCGGGUAGUC
This 460-nucleotide ribosomal RNA is filed under the name uncultured bacterium. RNAcentral's name for it is "partial 16S ribosomal RNA". It matches the Rfam family "Bacterial small subunit ribosomal RNA", at positions 338 to 795 of the family's 1533-position model. The record is from RNAcentral.